Gorilla gorilla gorilla (western lowland gorilla) is the source of this 95-nucleotide small nucleolar RNA. Its record names the gene SNORA70. It matches the Rfam family "Small nucleolar RNA SNORA70". From Rfam's summary of the family: snoRNA U70 seems to be exclusive to mammals and is a member of the H/ACA class of snoRNA which contain H (ANANNA) and ACA box motifs. H/ACA box snoRNAs are involved in the conversion of uridines to pseudouridines (5-ribosyluracil) a constituent of structural RNAs (transfer, ribosomal, small nuclear, and small nucleolar). NCBI's taxonomy places the organism in Eukaryota, Metazoa, Chordata, Mammalia, Primates, Hominidae. The record is from Ensembl.
UUGUACAUGUGCAAUGGCUGCAAACAGCAGCUUCCUUGGUAGUGUGUGCAGCCUGUUUCUUGUAUGGGUUGCUCUAAGGGACCUUGGAGACAGGC